RNAcentral lists this ribosomal RNA (700 nucleotides) under Actinomadura sp. KLBMP S0040. Its description in RNAcentral is "bacterial SSU rRNA". It matches the Rfam family "Bacterial small subunit ribosomal RNA", at positions 89 to 803 of the family's 1533-position model. Lineage: Bacteria; Bacillati; Actinomycetota; Actinomycetes; Streptosporangiales; Thermomonosporaceae. The record is from RNAcentral.
ACUCGAGCGGCGAACGGGUGAGUAACACGUGAGCAACCUGCCCCUGACUCUGGGAUAAGCCCGGGAAACUGGGUCUAAUACCGGAUAUGACCACUCCAGGCAUCUGGUGGUGGUGGAAAGUUUUUCGGUUGGGGAUGGGCUCGCGGCCUAUCAGCUUGUUGGUGGGGUGAUGGCCUACCAAGGCGACGACGGGUAACCGGCCUGAGAGGGCGACCGGUCACACUGGGACUGAGACACGGCCCAGACUCCUACGGGAGGCAGCAGUGGGGAAUAUUGCGCAAUGGGCGGAAGCCUGACGCAGCGACGCCGCGUGGGGGAUGACGGCCUUCGGGUUGUAAACCCCUUUCAGCAGGGACGAAGCUAACGUGACGGUACCUGCAGAAGAAGCGCCGGCUAACUACGUGCCAGCAGCCGCGGUAAUACGUAGGGCGCAAGCGUUGUCCGGAAUUAUUGGGCGUAAAGAGCUCGUAGGCGGUUUGUCGCGUCUGUCGUGAAAGCCCACGGCUUAACCGUGGGUCUGCGGUGGAUACGGGCAGACUAGAGGCAGGUAGGGGAGAAUGGAAUUCCCGGUGUAGCGGUGAAAUGCGCAGAUAUCGGGAGGAACACCGGUGGCGAAGGCGGUUCUCUGGGCCUGUACUGACGCUGAGGAGCGAAAGCGUGGGGAGCGAACAGGAUUAGAUACCCUGGUAGUCCACGCCGU